GUGAGGAAUAUUGGUCAAUGGACGAGAGUCUGAACCAGCCAAGUAGCGUGAAGGAUGAAGGUUCUAUGGAUUGUAAACUUCUUUUAUACGGGAAUAAACGAAUCCACGUGUGGAUUUUUGCAUGUACCGUAUGAAUAAGGAUCGGCUAACUCCGUGCCAGCAGCCGCGGUAAUACGGAGGAUCCGAGCGUUAUCCGGAUUUAUUGGGUUUAAAGGGAGCGUAGAUGGGUUGUUAAGUCAGUUGUGAAAGUUUGCGGCUCAACCGUAAAAUUGCAAUUGAUACUGGCAGUCUUGAGUACAGUUGAGGUAGGCGGAAUUCGUGGUGUAGCGGUGAAAUGCUUAGAUAUCACGAAGAACUCCGAUUGCGAAGGCAGCUUACUAACCUGUAACUGACAUUGAUGCUCGAAAGUGUGGGUAUCAAACAGG
This 425-nucleotide ribosomal RNA is filed under the name bacterium. RNAcentral describes it as "bacterial SSU rRNA". It matches the Rfam family "Bacterial small subunit ribosomal RNA", at positions 354 to 776 of the family's 1533-position model. The record is from RNAcentral. RNAcentral also lists the same sequence under 1 other name.